GCCAGCCACCAUAGACUUCAGUGCUUGUGGAGGGCUGGAGGUAUUCCAUUAAAUCCCCUGGAAUCACUCCAAAGUGUUUCUUCGAGUGUAACAGAAGAAAUCUUGUAGCUCUUUCUUCACUAAAUCUCAUCUGUUGUCUGUCUUUGUGGAAGAUGAGAUUGGACUUGUGUGUCCCUUCAAGUACUGUUCUUACGCCUGUUGAGAGUCUGCACCUGAGUGUAGCUGUGAUUCCCCAGUGGUGACUACUCUUCCAUCACUGUAUCUGCAUGCUGGACCCUAACCCUUUCCAUUUGGUUUCUAAGGUGGUGGAGUUGUGCAGAAACUGGAGCACAGGGCUUGGGAUGGUCUGUGAAAGAGCCAGCGCCGUUUAGCUUGACUGUAUUAUCUCAGAUGAAUCGUCAGGGAGAACCCGAGGCUGAUUCAUCCAGCCAUUUCUGACUCACCUGGAGCACUGAUCUUGAAUCCUGUUCGUGUACAUGGAAAAUUUUAUGGGGUCAAGCACAGAACCCAGCCACCGUGCUCAUCUGUGUCCACCUGGUCCUCCUGUCAUGUCUGGCAUUAACAGGAAAAUUCAGGUAUUCAAAUAAUUCGUUCUCCAAUUUCCUGUUACUGUUAGGAAGUGUUGGAACAUUCCCCUAUUUCUUGCUGCACAAAACAUUCCUCUUUUCUGUUAAACUUCAGCCAUGCAUUAUGCAGCAUUUAUCACCAUGCUCCUCUCUGAGUACAAGAGCUCCAAGGUACUCUGGUUGUUCAUGGAAGGAAUAAUAAUAAUUACUAGCUCAUUUGAGCUUGUCCUAAUUUUGCCAUUCCACCUGAAGGCAAAAGCCAAAAAAAUUAAAUUCAGAACCCUGUUUUCAUUUCACAUUGUGUGAGAUCUAAUCAAGGAGAACUCUUCUUUUUCAUGCAUCUCAGUGUAAGAACAGAGCAGCUGCCCACAAUAUAGGUUAUGUGAAGCAUCAUAAAAAAUUUAAAAGCAACAAAUGUCACAACUUUCUGUUUAGUUUGUUUGUGAUGUGAGUCUUAGAGCCCAUCAGCCCUGUGGCUUCCAGCUGUUGUCUGUAGCUAUGGAUAUCAGGGAGAUUCUGGGGGAUUUGGGCUGAUCUUUUUAACUGAUACUUUGUGUUGAUCCUUCUAGGGAAGUGGGGGCUGUCACAAGCUGGCAGUGAGUCACAGUGCUGCAAUAUUCCCCUCUGCACAGAAGCAGCCAUGUUCUGGGCUCUCAGAUCUGUUGUUUUUUUAACCUCAGAAGCAAACUACUGAGCAUUUCUGCCAACUUUAGGCUUGAAUGCAGGGAUUCCCACCAGCAGACCAGAAGAGCUGCUGUCCAGGUAAGUUUUGUGCUUGAGGUACUGUAGAGACUUAAUUCUUGUAAUCUUUUCUAAAUUCUCUUAAAAUAAGGGGCAAAAACUCCCCUUCCUGCCCCAACGCUUUAUGACCCCUAUGGAUGCAUCUGUAUCCAUAGAAGAGGUUGCCCCAACACUUCUCAGCCCUUCCACUCCAUAUUGAUCCGUGUCAUCACAAUAAGCCUUCAAAAGGCUUCUCACUACAAAGCAGACUGGUGUGGUGGUGAGACAGAGGAACAAACACAGAUCCAUGCUUGUGCUCAGCACUGCUCCUGUGGAUCUGGCCCAGCAACUCGAGCAGAACAACAGCCUCAAGUUGCACCAGGAGAGGUUUGGAUUGGAUAUCAGAAGAACUUGUUCAUGGAGGGGGUGGACAAGCAUUGGAACGUGCUGCCCAGAGCAGUGGUGGAAUAACCAUCCCUGUCCUUGCAGGUAACUAAGAGAUGUGUGGGCAUGGCACUAAUGGACAUGAUUCAUUGGUGGGACUCAGCAGGUCGGGUUGAUGGUUGGGUUUGAUGAUCUUGAAGCUUGGAUCUGAUAGAGGAUCUGAUGGAGAUUCAGAGCUCAGACCUUAUUUUUGCUACAUGGUUCUGCAGUGUGGGACUCAGAAUUCCCCUUGGUCACCCAUGUCAGUGGCCUGACACUGCCUGCUCAGUGACAAAUCAGACCAGAGCUGCAGGAGGGACAGAUGUCACCUGGAUCCAGGGCCACCACAGAUGACAGAUUUCUGCUUUGUCCACCAGAAAAUUUUCUGUCAGCAUCAAAUGAAGGUCAGAGAAUGCAGCAGAGAGAUGGCCUCAUUUCAGCCUGGCAAGAGAACCUGCAGCCAGGAGCGUGGGUGCAUGGUGCAGGACACAGGUGCUCUGCUUCUGCUGGUACCUUUGGGCUGCCUCCUGCACCAGAAGGUUUUGCAUUACACAUUUUUUUUUCCCUCUAUCUCUUCCUGCUAACAAGAUAUUCCUCUGGACAAUCUGAAAGCUCAUGCUCCAUCUCUUUCAAGGCUAGGCUGGAUGGGGUGUGGACGGUCUGAUCUGGUCAGGGGCAAGCUGCCCACAGCAGGGGCUUGGGACCAGAUAGGAUUUAAGGUCCUUGCCAACCAAAGGCAUUCUAUGAUCCCACUUUGCAUCAGCUCUUGGAGGAAGGCGUAGUGGGAGCAGGACACUGGUGGAGAUGGAAGGAAGGCUGUGAGCAUAGAAGAGCCUGCAUUAAGGCAAGCAUUUCUCAUCUCCUUCAAGUGACCCGGUGCAGUCAGUAUAUCGUGUUCCUCCAUUCAGGCAUUUAACAUUGCCACCAUGACUUUGGCCAUUGGCACGAGCCAUGUGAACCCAUAAGGUUGCCCACCGAACACCAACGUUAUGAAUUCACGUGGUUAGGCUGAAGGCAGGCACACCCAAAGCAGGCUGCCAACGCUCAGAUGGCUUUUGGAGGUUCCCAAGACCCCCACAGCCUCUCUGAGUUUUUAUCCCUUUAUAAGGAGUAAAGGAUGAGUGGUAGCAACGCUUGUGGGUUCCAUCCAGGAGAUGGCAGCAGCAUCCCUCACACAUCCCUAUGGCAACGGGAGCGGUGCAUCCCUGGGCUGGGGGCGUUGAUCAUAAGGACAGGGAAAGGCAUCGCCUCCCAGCAAGUAGCCCUUCUGCCUGCUUGUCUUUGCUCUGCUCCUCGCCUGGCAGCACGGUGACGUGAUGGAGGUGACAAGCAGGGUGUUUCUGCUGAAUCAGUCUCUUUCCUUUUUGCAGGAGGGAAAAGCUGCUGCAAAACUUGCAAGCCGUAGCUUGGAUCCUGUCGUGCUGCUCACAGACAGCUGAUGUGCAGAGCUCGUUAGCACCAUGAAAUGUUGGCUGUCACUAGGGACCUGUCCUUCAGUGGUUGGGGGCACACGCAUCGGGGUGAAGCUCUGGGACCUCAGCCUGCACCAAGAGGCUGCAAUGAAAUUGUCUUGAGCGUAACCAAGUCACCAUGGGCACGGCCCGAAGAGUUCCUCCAGGAAGGCAAAGGAGCUUUGGAAAGAGGUUCUUAAGGUUGGUUGCUCCCUUAAUGCUUUACGUUUGGCCACUCAACCUGAUGCUCUCUAAAGCCCUUUUCUAAUGUUAUUUAGCAGAUUGCUCUCUGAGCUGUUUGCCAGCUCUAAGCCUGAAGCCAGUGAGUGACACAGGUUCUGCCCCAGCUCUUCUCUCUGGAUCAUUCCCUUUGGAAUUGCAGCUCCAGCAAGAGGUGCUGACAGUGCUGUGACACCCCUGGACCUGAUGCAGCACAACCCUGUGUUUCCCUUCUGUUGAGCUGCUCUGGCUGCUGAAUUUGCUGUGCUUUCAUGUCACAGCUAUGGCCUAACACAGCAGAUACAGCUCUGUAGGGGGAAAAAAAAAAACAGCACAUCAUGGGCUAUGGGGGCCUAUAGAUAUCUGUCAGGUGGCUCUGGCUCUUUAUAGGUUUGAGUUUCUUCAGUAUAAGCAUUUUAUUCCUUGGAGAGGAAGCAUUGGGUAGGUCCCACCUUAUUUCCUUUUGUAAUUACAAAAGGUUUUGUCAGCGGUGAUUUGCCCUUAUCCCUAAGGGAUGGAGAGGGUGCCUGUCAAACACAGACCUGGGGAAAGCUGCUGGGAUCCAAUACAAAACUGUGCCAACCUCUGCUCUGGGUGUGGGGAGAUGGUGGCGAUGGGUUGAGGGUUGGACUUGAUGAUGUUAGCACUCUUUUCCAACCUUAAUGAUUGAGUGGGAGCUGGAGUUCAUGCUCACAGCUCUCACCUCAGAGGCCUCACAACACAGUGGACACAUGGCCCAAAUGGCCCCGUAUCACCAGGCCCGUUCCUGAGAGAUGCUGCAUGGCUUUGUGUUUUUUUCCUUUCUCAUUCUCCCUGCUGAGAUUAUUUGCCUGACUGGCAGAAAGAACUCAUGCUGAGUUUAUGCAGUCAUCCCAGAGAACUGUCUCUCUCCUGCAUACCAAGGCAUUUUGGAUAAAUAGAAGGCUAGAAUAAAAAGUAAACUGCUUAUGUAGGCAGCAGAAAACAGUAUUUGCAGAACACAAUGACAUCACUGUGGAACAUUAAGGUUGGAAUAGGCCUCUGAGAUCCACGUGUCCAACCCCAACCCAUCCCACUGUGUUCACUGACCACGUCCCUCAGUGCCACGUCCCCACUGUUCUGGAGCAUCUCCAGGGAUGGUGACCCCACUAUUCCCUGGGCAGCUGUGCCAGUGUCUGACCACAUCUGGAGAACAAAUGUUGCCUAAUAUCCAGCCUGAACCUCCUCUGGCUCAACUUAAGGUCAUUACCUCUUCUCCUAUCACUGUUACGUGGGUGAAGAGGUGAGGAGAAGUAAUAGUCCAUGCUGCUGUCUGAAGCUACAUCAGAGAGAGCCUGCAUGUGACUGCAUGAACGACCCCAGGUCAUAGAAUCAUAGGUCAUAUGGUCAUAUCAUAGGUCAGCCCAGCACUUCCAAGAACACGAUGCUGUUCCUGAACCCCAGGCACUGCUCCCCUCUGUCCCUUGUAGGCCACAGAAGCAGGGCUUUGCCUCCAACCUGUGCUCCUCAAACCUUCUGUCAGACCCUGUGUGGACCCAACACUGACCCUGGACAAAGCAGAAGCUUGUGACCAGGGCACUAGACCUUCACUUAUGCAAGGACUUUUUUUCUUCCUCUCCAGGGCUACUUGGGAUCCAAAUCCCUCUCUCAUGCUAUGCUGUGUUGAAGUCUCUAGGACAACAUUUUGGCCUGGAUUCAGGAAGCCUGUUAAGGAUUGCAGCCCAAAAGAGGUUGGAGGCUGGGAUGGGCGAGAUGGAGCCGGGCUGGGAGCAGCCCAGUGGUGAGGUUGCAGGAGGCUGCAGGACCUUCCCAGCAGGACAACCACUGUGUCUGUCCAGUCCUCCAUCCAGCCCCGCCGUGUCCCGAGGGCUGCAGGAGACAUGAGCUCACUGCUGAGACGUGCCAAACCGAGCCCGCUGGGCGAGGCUGCUCCCAGCUCCACGCUGACAUCUGCCAGAGAUUUCCAGCACUGCUGUCUCGCUGCUUCUCUGCAGAGCGCAGCCCCUGAGCAUCCCAACAUCCUGGUCCUCCUCUGGGCCAGAGGCAUCCACAUCUACAUCCCCAUCCUCACUACUGUCCCCAUCCCCCCCCACAUCAGCAUCCUGACACCUGAACUGGUUGCCGUAGAAACCACAGGUCUGUCUGUCUGCCCGUGCCAAGGGAUGAUGCUCUGCUUCCC
This is a long non-coding RNA of Centrocercus urophasianus (Greater sage-grouse), 5537 nucleotides long. RefSeq lists it as uncharacterized. The transcript is spliced from 3 exons. The record is from RefSeq and is a predicted model, not a curated record. NCBI's taxonomy places the organism in Eukaryota, Metazoa, Chordata, Aves, Galliformes, Phasianidae.